UGCAGACAAGGGAAUUAAAUACAACUGGCUUCUCUUCUUCUGAUCUCAAAUAUCAGCUGAUGUGUCUUGAUGAUAGGGUUCUGUUGGAGCUGCAGAGUAUUGGUAUUUGUCCAGAGACAUUGCCUGAUCUGACAGAGGGAGAGGAAGUGAUUAAUCAAGAUAUAAUGGGACUUGAGGAAGGGCUGUGCCAACAGAUUGGGAGAAAGAAAAGGAAAUUAGGGAAAAUUGAUAAGGCUGUUCAGAAAGGGAAAGAAGUGGAAAAGAGGAACAUGGAGCAGGUUGCAAUGGACCAACUUAUUGAGAUGGCUUAUAAAAAACGAGUGGCUUGCCGUGGGAAUAAUUCCUCAAAAAGUGCGGUCCGCAAAGUUUCAAGACAAGUUGCACUGGCUUUUAUCAAGCGCACUCUUGCUAGAUGUAGAAAAUUUGAAGACACAGGCAGCGGUUGCUUUAGUGAGCCUGCAUUACAGGAGGUCAUUUUCGCUACACCACCAAGCAACAAUGAUGCAAAAUCUGUUGAUUGUGUUGGUUCAGGAACUGCAAGUAACACAUGUAAUGAAGUUUCUAACCAUCAUGCUGAAGC
This 580-nucleotide unclassified non-coding RNA is filed under the name Hevea brasiliensis (rubber tree). Lineage: Eukaryota; Viridiplantae; Streptophyta; Magnoliopsida; Malpighiales; Euphorbiaceae. The record is from RNAcentral.